Molecule: ribosomal RNA, 278 nt
Filed under: uncultured bacterium
Lineage: Bacteria
Description: partial 16S ribosomal RNA
Rfam family: Bacterial small subunit ribosomal RNA
Source: RNAcentral
UACGGAGGAUCCAAGCGUUAUCCGGAAUCAUUGGGUUUAAAGGGUCCGUUAGGCGGGCCUUAAGUAAGUCAGUGGUGAAAGCCCCAUCGCUCAACGAUGGGAACUGCCCGAUUGAUACUGUAAAGGCUUGAAUUAUUGUGAAGUAACUAGAAUAUGUAGUGUAGCGGUGAAAUGCUUAGAUAUUACAUGGAAUACCAAUUGCGAAGGCAGGUUACUAACAAUGAUUGACGCUGAUGACGAAAGCGUGGGGAGCGAACAGGAUUAGAUACCCGUGUAGU